GAGCGGUGAGCCACCAACCACAUAAAAAGAAGAAAAGUGAAUCCUCAUUUCCUAAAUGAGAAGCUGUAAGAAGGAGAAGGAGAAGCAAUUUACUCCUGAUGGGUAGAGAUAUGAAGGGAGAACCUCUCUGCAUACCAGCGGUGAAAUCCCCUCUGGUUCUAUCCAGCUCACGGAACAAGUAGCACCACCAGCGGGAGGCUUCGCCCAUCCACCAGGACGUCAUUACAUCCCUUUUUUUACCACCUGUGCGUUCCCAAACCAGUAGCGAAGGCAGGGAAUUCAGCUUCAGAAUUGGAACAUCUUCCUUGAUGGAACAAGAACAGCAACGCUAAAGAAAAAAAGAAGUCUAUAACUAUGAAUGUUUUUACAGAAAAGACUUGUUCUAAUAAAUGAAUGAAAGGACAUUUGUAAUAAUUGUGAUAAUAAAUUAGACUG
This is a long non-coding RNA of Ahaetulla prasina, 435 nucleotides long. RefSeq lists it as uncharacterized. The record is from RefSeq and is a predicted model, not a curated record. The transcript is spliced from 3 exons. Lineage: Eukaryota; Metazoa; Chordata; Lepidosauria; Squamata; Colubridae.